AGAGUUUGAUCAUGGCUCAGGACGAACGCUGACGGUGUGCUUUAGACAUGCAAGUCGAACGCGAAAGCCCUUCGGGGUGAGUAGAGUGGCGAACGGGUGAGUAACACGUGGGUAACCUACCCCUCGCAGGGGGAUAACCGGGGGAAACCCCGGCUAAUACCCCGUACGCUUGCUGGGUCGCAUGGCCCGGCAAGGAAACGGUAGCUUCGGCCAUCCGGCGAGGGAUGGGCCCGCGGUGCAUUAGCUAGUUGGUGGGGUAACGGCCUACCAAGGCGACGAUGCAUAGCUGGUCUGAGAGGACGAUCAGCCACACUGGGACUGAGACACGGCCCAGACUCCUACGGGAGGCAGCAGUCGGGAAUCUUGCGCAAUGGGCGAAAGCCUGACGCAGCAACACCGUGUGAGCGACGAAGGCCUUCGGGUCGUAAAGCUCUGUUGUUGGGGACGAAGGGUUAGGGGUUAAUAGCCCCGAGCCUGACGGUACCCUUCGAGGAAGCCCCGGCUAACUACGUGCCAGCAGCCGCGGUAAUACGUAGGGGGCGAGCGUUGUCCGGAAUUAUUGGGCGUAAAGAGCGUGUAGGCGGCCCGGUAAGUCCGCCGUGAAAGCUUGGGGCUCAACCCCAAGUUUGCGGUGGAUACUGUCGGGCUAGAGGGUGGUAGAGGCGAGUGGAAUUCCCGGUGUAGCGGUGAAAUGCGCAGAUAUCGGGAGGAACACCAGUAGCGAAGGCGGCUCGCUGGGCCAUACCUGACGCUGAGACGCGAAAGCGUGGGGAGCGAACAGGAUUAGAUACCCCAGUAGUCC
Molecule: ribosomal RNA, 802 nt
Filed under: uncultured bacterium
Lineage: Bacteria
Description: bacterial SSU rRNA
Rfam family: Bacterial small subunit ribosomal RNA
Source: RNAcentral